RNAcentral lists this long non-coding RNA (214 nucleotides) under Lathyrus oleraceus (garden pea). RNAcentral's name for it is "Pisum sativum (pea) long non-coding RNA (PSAT_LNC013314)". Lineage: Eukaryota; Viridiplantae; Streptophyta; Magnoliopsida; Fabales; Fabaceae. The record is from RNAcentral.
UUUUUUUGACCUCCUCGAUAGAUGUGUUGUCAUCAUCAAAAGAGGGAGAAUAUAGAUCUAUGUGCUUGCAUGCACAACUAUCUGCAACUGUUAGAUGUUCACAAUUAUUUAGUGAUGACAACAUCAUAUGGCAAUCGACAUUAUGUGAAGUAUUAAUCUAUCAAGAAUAAUAAAUUAUCAAGAUGUUCUAUAAAGAUCAAGAUGUUAUUUGUGA